AUAUCCGAAAUUUUUUCAAAACAUAAAACAAAAUUCAAACCGUUUUCAAAAUAGAUAAUAUAAAAACUCUUUCUUAAUUCAUCUCUCUCACGUUCGGUUCUCCCUUAAUUCCCUUCCCUUUUCUCCAUUUUUCUACUAUUUUUCUUUUUUUCUCUUUUCCUCCUUUAUUGUCCUUUCUAACAAACCGCUGCCGCUGCCUCCACACACUUUCCGGCGUCUUACCUCCGAUGAGGCCAGCUUCCUUCCCAUCAUUCGAAAUUUAAAUCCUCAAAUAUAUCUAUCCAAUCCAUUGCUCCCCAUUUCUUCGGCGGUUCUCUCUCACUCUCGGUCUCUUUUCGAAGUUUUCCUGUCAUUCUUUUUUAGCUUUGGGUAUCCACAGGCCAAAAAAACACAUGCUAUUGUAGGAAGAGAGUUUUCGUGAGAGAGAAACCCUAUGUUUUCUCUGGCGUUUCUGGUUUUUGUGAUUUUUGAAAUUCGCUGCUUCAACGGAGACUCAUUUCAGGUGCAAAAAUCAUGAAGCUUCCAAUUAUUUAUGGGAAUUGUAUUAUGGGGGAUGGGCAGCACCUAAUAUAUACUUCUUGGGGUAUGCUGUGGUUGUGAAGGUUGGCAAUAUCCGCAUCGGUGGACUUUCCGGAAUUUACAAUGCGCGUAAUUAUUGUUUAGGUUCGGGUGGAGAGUCGAAGCUUUGAAACUGAAAUGAAUUAGCGUUUCCUUGAGCAGGACACCAUGAAAGGCCACCUUAUAAUGACAAUACUAUCAGGUCUGUGUAUCAUGUCCAGGAAUACGAUGUUCACAAGCUUAUGCACCUAGAGGAACUGAUGGAUAUUUUCCUUUCACACGAUUGGCCGCUCAGCAUCACUGAUUAUGGGAACUGGCUACAACUUGUUCGCUACAAAAAACA
Long non-coding RNA from Gossypium arboreum, 901 nucleotides. RefSeq lists it as uncharacterized. The record is from RefSeq and is a predicted model, not a curated record. Lineage: Eukaryota; Viridiplantae; Streptophyta; Magnoliopsida; Malvales; Malvaceae. The transcript is spliced from 4 exons.